UACGGAGGGGGCUAGCGUUGUUCGGAAUUACUGGGCGUAAAGCGCACGUAGGCGGCUUUGUAAGUUAGAGGUGAAAGCCCGGGGCUCAACUCCGGAAUUGCCUUUAAGACUGCAUCGCUAGAAUUGUGGAGAGGUAAGUGGAAUUCCGAGUGUAGAGGUGAAAUUCGCAGAUAUCAGGAGGAACACCGGUGGCGAAGGCGGGUCUCUGGGCCGAUACUGACGCUGAGGAGCGAAAGCGUGGGGAGCGAACAGG
This 253-nucleotide ribosomal RNA is filed under the name uncultured bacterium. RNAcentral describes it as "partial 16S ribosomal RNA". It matches the Rfam family "Bacterial small subunit ribosomal RNA", at positions 524 to 776 of the family's 1533-position model. The record is from RNAcentral.